AAGUUCCGAGACAGGUGCUGCAUGGCUGUCGUCAGCUCGUGCCGUGAGGUGUGGGUUAAGUCCCGCAACGAGCGCAACCCUAUUGCCAGUUGCUACCAGGUAAUGCUGGGCACUCUGGUGAGACUGCCCGGUUAACGGGGAGGAAGGUGGGGACGACGUCAAGUCAUCAUGGCCCUUACGCCUAGGGCUACACACGUACUACAAUGGCGCAUACAAAGGGCAGCGAUACCGCGAGGUGGAGCCAAUCCCAAAAAGUAGCGUCCCAGUCCGGAUUGCAGUCUGCAACUCGACUGCAUGAAGUUGGAAUCGCUAGUAAUUCGAGAUCAGCAUGCUCGGGUGAAUGCGUUCCCGGGCCUU
RNAcentral lists this ribosomal RNA (357 nucleotides) under uncultured Desulfovibrio sp. RNAcentral describes it as "bacterial SSU rRNA". It matches the Rfam family "Bacterial small subunit ribosomal RNA", at positions 1024 to 1382 of the family's 1533-position model. Lineage: Bacteria; Pseudomonadati; Thermodesulfobacteriota; Desulfovibrionia; Desulfovibrionales; Desulfovibrionaceae. The record is from RNAcentral.